UGGCUGGCUCCCGGGAAGGGGAGAUGCUGCCUGUGCUGGGGACACUGCACAAGAGGCCUGGGGAGAAGCAGACCCUGGAAGACGAGCUGGAUUUCUGUCUCUUCUAGGGUGUUUUUCCCCGGAUGGUUGCUUUUUCCAAAUCUCCAGAAUGGUUCCCUAAAGAAGGACACAGCAUGGAUGUUAAGAUCUCACCCAGUGAAAUCUCAUUUGUCCCCGGAGCUAAGCACAGAAGGGGAAAGAUCAGCCUAGAGCGGGACCAUGCAGUGAAUUCUGCGCUGAAAACAUCUUGCGGCCAGAGCACAGGCGCCUCCUGAGAGCUAAAGGUUACGUUUUCUCACCAGGCUGUCUCUUCUCCACGCUAAUGAAAGGGAAAAGGGAACUCUCUUCAGGUCCUUCUGUUUCUCAUAUAAAAUUACUCGUACAUGUUGGUAAGCACAGGCAUUUCCUGUGCGUGUGUGAUAUGUUAUUGAAUCCCUCGCUGAUGGACUGGAAAUGCAAUACAUGAUUUAAGGUCUACAGUAGAACCGUCUCCUCUUCCACACGCUCAUCAUCUUACUGUGAAAUUACACAGUCGGGAAGGACCUCGAAGGCUUCCUCAUCUCCAUCUGUCCAUCCCUUAAACAAUUUUAAUCGUAGCCAUUGAUUCCUCAUUCGCUCUCAGUUCUUUGACAAAGGUUUGUUAUUCAAUCGUGGCAGGCAAGAUGUGUCUUCCUGGGGGAUGCAAUAAUAAUAAACAGAGAACCCUGCCUCCGCGCACAGACUCUGCGGAGGGGAGGGGAGGAGACCGAUCAUCCCUUCCAGGCUGCACCGUGGGCUGCACUGUACUUGAAGGCAGAAACAGGGAUGGCUUAGUGACCUGAGGAAUUGGGCUGGACCCGGAGGACAGGGAGGUGGAGAGGGCCUGGAGGACGGUGUGGCGCAGCCCGAAGACUGAGCACCAGGUUCCUAGGAGGAUGUGACGUGGGAGGGCUUCGAGCCCCCUGAGCUGCGGACUUCCUCAGGGUUUCUGUUGUUCACUUUCCUCUUUAUCCCCUAAAAUAGUGGAGAACACUGCAGGGGGAAACGCCUGACUUGUGUCUUGAGGAGAUGGCUAAGUGGCAUUUUCGGCAUCAGAGGGUUCCUGAGAGAAGUUAGAAAUCUGCUGCUCUGGCUCCUGGGGGACACGAUGGUGCUUUGGGCCCGGGAUUGUGGUGGUGGAGGAAUAGAAGGGGCUGGGAUUAGGAGGGGAGAUUACUCUUACUCGGUGGGUUGAAUGGGAUGGUGCGGAAAACGUGAGAUUGUCCAGCAUAACUGCUGGGCACAGAGUCAGCAUAACUGCAUGGCCAUCGACCUCAGCUUCCCAUGAGGGUGUGCUUUCUACUGGAAGGGGACACAUUUCAUUUGGAUUUGGUCUCGGAUCUAUGAAUGGGCAACUGGGUCAUUCACUAAAUGAAUACUCUUUUUUGAUCUUUUUGAGACAGCGUUUCUCUAUGCAGUUCAGGCUGGACUUGACCUCACUAUGAUCCUCCUGUCUCAGCCUCCCAAGUAUGGGGAUUACAGGCAUGAGCCACCAUACCCAGCUAAUAGUUUAAGCUUUUGAGUUAUGGAUAUGUAAGAGAAAAUGGGUCUUUGUGGGUUGGAGAGAUCACCUACACUAAAGAAUAUAUAGUGAAAAGGCCUAAAACUAGGCGUCACUGACUCCGGCCUCCAAUGGCAAAAUAACUGCUUUUUUUUUUUUUUUUUUUUUUUUUUAGUUUACAAAUAAAUACCUAGGGGAAAUUUUGUUAGCAAUGCUUAUAAUGCAAGCUCAGAGGUUACACUGACCUGGAAUUCUGCCAAAGAGCCAUUGACCAAAGCAGGGCAGAACUGCCCUGUAGCUGCCCAAGGGUCCACCUCCCCUCCUGGUCCCUCUGCCCUACACUCUCUAGGCGGCCACCAUCCGUCCUGACGGUGCACGGCUUCCCAAAGCUCAGCUCCAUCAUCUGCCUGCCUUCCUCUGUGUACUCAAAGGUCUUAAAAGUCGAGGGGCCAGGACUGCCUGAGAACGUUCUUAUCCUACGCUGUGAAGAGACACAACACGCAGAGGCACAGGAGGGAGGCACUGACUGCCGGGGAAAGGUGGGCAAGGCCUGAGAGGAGAGGGGUGCUUACCCUGCCUUGAACUAUGUCUUACAGAGUUUUGUUAUCGUGGUUGGUUUUAUUUCAUAAGAGAAUUCUAAAUUCUGGGAAUUAAAAUUUUAUAAAGUCAAAGAUGGUUUCUGAGACCCAAUUAAAAAGCUGAUAUAAGGGGAGGACAGAACGCAUCUGGGAAGGAGGUCAAGAUGGACUUUGAUGCUGGGCAUGGUGGCACAUGCCUGUCUCCCAGCACUCAGGAGGCUGAGACAGGAGGAUCCUUGCACAUGCAAGAGCAGCCUGGGCUCCAAAGUGAGCUCAAGGCCAACCUGACUGCAUAGCGAGACCCUGUCUCAGGAAAGAAGAAAAAAAAGAAGAUGGACUCUGAGACACAUUUUGUAACAGAAUCAACUGGAUUCUUGGUCCUGUCAGUGCCGACACGGGAUGGGGGUACCCCUCAGGGUGGGGUAGCUCUCUGAUGAGUAAUCCCAGAAGUCCACAUCCCUUCCCUUCCCUUCCCUUUUCUUCCCUUCCCUUCCCUUCUGUUUGCUUUCUUUCUUCUAUUUUUUUAAGGAAUGCCUAAAAUAAAUAAGCUAACUAGAACAGAGAGGAAAUGAUUUCUGAUAUGGCAAGAUACAGUUUGGCACAGUAGCUCCAGUUUCGAGUCCGAUGGCUAUAACAAGUCACUUUAGAUAUUAGACAUGAUGGCUUAGACUGACCAGGGCAAUGCUGUGACUGUGCUGUGAGAGCUGGGAUGGGUGCUUCUCUUCUCGGGGUCCCCGGCUCUCUGAUGUGUUAGGACAGGGAACCACCUUUCCAGGCUCAUGUGGUGUUCGGUUUCCCCUCAGAGAGUCAGCUAUAGGGUAUACCUUGACUGCCUAGAGAACAGUGCUCAGCAAAACAAAAGGACAAGCCCCUGCCCUUGGACAUGGGCGGGCUGUGAUGGCCCCACGGUGCCUUCCUGCUGUCUGCAGAGUUCACAUGGAGCUGCCUGGGCUUCGUUUCUCAGACCCCUCUUCCCCUCUGGAUCCCACUUGCGCACAGCUUUCCAAAUCUGGGCCUCCAGUUCCUCCAGGGUCGCUGUUAUUUUUAGGUCUCAGGAGCAAAGGUUCUGAGUAAGAAACCCGAGACUCUGAGGAGUCCUCACCCUCAGCCCCACAGGUCCCGGACCAGAGCCAGCAAUGCACAUCCCUGCCCUGGUUUAUUUCAAAUAGGACUGUGUGCAUUUUGGUUAAAAAUAGAGGAAAUGUUUUGGACGAGUUUUGUAUGCAGGAAAAGGAGGAGAGAGAUGUGGGAAGCAACGACAAACACAAGAGAAGCCGCGACGUGGCGGAGGGUCCCGGGCCUCCCAUCCGUCAGGUUUAAUUUAUCUCCUAGGAGGAGCUCAGACAACUCUGACAGCAGAAGCGUAGAUUGCUCCUGCCCUUAGACCAUUUUCUUCGAUGUGUUUGCAACGUGAUUUUUGUUGAUUUCUCCCAGGGAUUUUUUUCCAGAUGAAUAAUUAAUUGGAGUCCAUGUCAAUUUUUCAUAGUCAUUGAGUUCUGGAGAAAUCUUCCUAGAGUUAAAACUUUUGAUUUGUGGAAAGGGAAAUGUUAGAUGUUUUGCUUUUCUUGCAGCUUUAAAGUUGUCUAUAUCCGUAUGAGAUUUAUUACUGAAAACUCAGUCUUCACAGAAUAAUUUCUGACACUUUCCUUGUUCUGCCCUUUCUUUCACUGCUUCCACAAUACCCAAGGAAUCAUUUAUUAUAAGCUUGAGCAAUUUGUAUUUUAUUAAUUUUAGUUCAAUUCAGCAGCCAUUUAGCACAACAGAGUGGAUUGUAAAAAAAAUAUGUAGCUCUUGCCUGC
Molecule: long non-coding RNA, 3935 nt
Organism: Cavia porcellus (domestic guinea pig)
Lineage: Eukaryota; Metazoa; Chordata; Mammalia; Rodentia; Caviidae
Exons: 3
Source: RefSeq, a predicted model, not a curated record